GCCGAAGGUCGGCCGGGCGGCCGCUGGCAGUUGCCGGCUGCUGCCCGGCCGGCGUCCGGUUCGGCAGUCCGACACUGUCGUUCGUCC
RNAcentral lists this transfer RNA (87 nucleotides) under Oerskovia enterophila. RNAcentral describes it as "tRNA-Gly". The record is from RNAcentral. Lineage: Bacteria; Bacillati; Actinomycetota; Actinomycetes; Micrococcales; Cellulomonadaceae.